Molecule: ribosomal RNA, 497 nt
Filed under: uncultured bacterium
Lineage: Bacteria
Description: partial 16S ribosomal RNA
Rfam family: Bacterial small subunit ribosomal RNA
Source: RNAcentral
GAUGAACGCUGGCGGCGUGCCUAAUACAUGCAAGUCGAGCGAACAGACGAGGAGCUUGCUCCUCUAACGUUAGCGGCGGACGGGUGAGUAACACGUGGAUAACCUACCUAUAAGACUGGGAUAACUUCGGGAAACCGGAGCUAAUACCGGAUAAUAUAUUGAACCGCAUGGUUCAAUAGUGAAAGACGGUUUUGCUGUCACUUAUAGAUGGAUCCGCGCCGCAUUAGCUAGUUGGUAAGGUAACAGCUUACCAAGGCAACGAUGCGUAGCCGACCUGAGAGGGUGAUCGGCCACACUGGAACUGAGACACGGUCCAGACUCCUACGGGAGGCAGCAGUAGGGAAUCUUCCGCAAUGGGCGAAAGCCUGAUGGAGCAACGCCGCGUGAGUGAUGAAGGUCUUCGGAUCGUAAAACUCUGUUAUUAGGGAAGAACAAAUGUGUAAGUAACUAUGCACGUCUUGACGGUACCUAAUCAGAAAGCCACGGCUAACUACGUG